Molecule: long non-coding RNA, 685 nt
Organism: Macrobrachium nipponense
Lineage: Eukaryota; Metazoa; Arthropoda; Malacostraca; Decapoda; Palaemonidae
Exons: 3
Source: RefSeq, a predicted model, not a curated record
GUCCGUUGGUGUUAUUGUACUAUUAUAUUUAUAUUAUGCCUUUGUGAAGUGACUUACUAGUCGCAGUAUUUUGUUAGAUAUUGGGGUAUAUAACGUAGUUAUGUCGUUUUAAGAAUUAUGAGACUUUAAUAUUCCGGUCACCCUUCAUAGAACCUAGUGCCCGACUAAUGCAUUAUUAUUAUAUAACUUGCUAUUGAACCUGGGAGAUGGAUGGUCAAGCAAAGAACGUCUCUUCAUAAACGCCACCGGUCUACGGGCUGCUCUAGGAGCAAGAGCCCGUGCUGGCUUAAGGCCAGCUUAAUCUCUAACAAACGCCACCUUCCAACUUCAUUCAAAAACAGGAUUGUACAUAGUCACUGAGUUGCCAAUAAUUGGAGGUAACUGCGACUUUAGCAAUUAAUUGUUCACGGCUGUCUGAGGAGUGCAAGAUUCUGUCUGAGGAGUGCAAGAUUCUGUCUGAGGAGUGCAAGAUUCUGUCUGAGGAGUGCAAGAUUCUGUCUGAGGAGUGCAAGAUUCUGUGAACGGCUUAUCCUUCGUUUGGGCUGCUUUUUGUAGCUGAAAGAUACAGCUUCUGGGGAAAGCAUGACAUAAGAAUUUUUUUAAUAGUCUUCAUUGGUUGAAAUGAUUGUUGACUAUUUACUAAAUCCUAUUGCUUCAUUUUUAAAUUCAGAAUGUAAUGUAAUGA